CAAUAGCGUAUAUUAAAGUUGUUGCGGUUAAAAAGCUCGUAGUUGGAUUUCUGCUGAGAACGACCGGUCCGCCCUCUGGGUGUGUAUCUGGCUCUUUCUUGGCAUCUUCUUGGUGAACGUUGCUGCACUUGACUGUGUGGAGCGCUACCCAGGACUUUUACUUUGAGGAAAUUAGAGUGUUUCAAGCAGGCAUACGCCUUGAAUACAUUAGCAUGGAAUAAUAAGAUAGGACCUCGGUUCUAUUUUGUUGGUUUCUAGAGCUGAGGUAAUGAUUAAUAGGGAUAGUUGGGGGCAUUCGUAUUUAACUGUCAGGGGUGAAAUUCUUGGAUUUGUUAAAGACGGACUACUGCGAAAGCAUUUGCCAAGGAUGUUUUCAUUG
RNAcentral lists this ribosomal RNA (379 nucleotides) under uncultured eukaryote. RNAcentral's name for it is "partial 18S ribosomal RNA". It matches the Rfam family "Eukaryotic small subunit ribosomal RNA", at positions 592 to 975 of the family's 1831-position model. The record is from RNAcentral.